UAAAUGUGCGUUUUCAAGUAGCAAAUAGAUCCAUUUUGCAACCAAAGACCACACAACCUAUUAUUAUUACAAAUUACAAAUAAAAUACAACAACUAUGGUUCAGCUAUUCCACCUUUUUCUUCUCAUGCCUGUGCUGUUUUCUCUGCCUUUUGCAUCUAUCUGUUAAAGAUUUCGGUUUCAAUAAGCUAUGAUGAAAUGGCAAGAUAGAAAGAAAAAAAUUUGUAUAUUACAUUCAUCCACAAAAUUCAUGCCCCUUUCACACUCUGUCUCUCUCACCAGUUUACUAUCUCCUUCCCACAAUAUCAGUAACUUGUGCGCCUUUGAUCUUUUUUUGCUGGGGUGCCUGAAUAACUCACAAACAAGUUGGACAUGGGACCAUAAAUUCCUUUAUGUUUGGAUUAGAGUCUGUAAAGUCCGGGUCUAAACAUGAGGAGGUACGAAAGUAAUUGGGGUUAGCCCUUUCCAACUUUCAUUCUGUAUUUCUAUAUGGUUUCCUACAAUUAGGAAUAUUAACAUAUUAAAAUAGUCCAUGUUAAGAGAAAUAGUUAACGUAGCUAAUUUAAUUAAUAUUUGAGCUUAAAUUUAAAGGGCAUACAACUUCGAUAUAAAGUAUAUAUUUGUUUUAUAACAAUAUAAAGUUAUGCCAAAUAAUUGCAUAACUUCAAUUUUCAACUUUUUAUUUGAUAAUUUGGCAAAUUUUUUUAAUAAAAAAUAGUAUUUAUUUAUUCGAAUCGAUAAAAAUUACAUUAAGGAAGAACAAUACAAUUUAAACUUGUUAAAAAUAAAAGGAUGAAUCUGGGAACAAAUUCACACAAUCAAUAUUUAUAACAUAAAACGAUAAAAUGUCUACAAAUAUGACAAAAUUUAUAAAUUAAACAAAAUGAAUGUGUCUCGAGUACUUAUGCCUCCGAAGCCUCGAAUACUUAUGCCUCUAAAGUUGCCCUAUUAAAUUUCCAGUUGAUCGAAGUUGAUGUGUCAUUCUGAACUAAAAAAACAAUGCAACAAAAUAACAAAUCAAAACAAUACCUCAGUAGGACAAAAAACUAAAACAACGUCGCAUUAAGACGACAAAAAAA
Cicer arietinum (chickpea) is the source of this 1077-nucleotide non-coding RNA. Lineage: Eukaryota; Viridiplantae; Streptophyta; Magnoliopsida; Fabales; Fabaceae. The record is from RefSeq and is a predicted model, not a curated record.